Long non-coding RNA from Triticum dicoccoides, 742 nucleotides. RefSeq lists it as uncharacterized. The record is from RefSeq and is a predicted model, not a curated record. The transcript is spliced from 3 exons. NCBI's taxonomy places the organism in Eukaryota, Viridiplantae, Streptophyta, Magnoliopsida, Poales, Poaceae.
UGCAGAUCUUCGUCAAGACCGUCACCGGGCAGACCCUCACGCUCGAGGUCAAGGGCACCGACACCGUCGACACCAUCAAAGCUCGGAUCCAGGACAAGCAAGGGAUCACCGGCACCGCCUCCCAAGACGACCCGCACCAUCUGCCGUCCCUCGUCUUCGCCGGGAAGCAGCUAGAGGAGGAGGACGGCCGGACGCUGGCCGACUACGGCAUUGGCAAGGAGUCGACGCUGCACCACGUGCUCGGCCUCCGCGGCGGCUUCCGGCAACGAAGCUGCUACCCCAAUCACAUCAGCCUCCUAGCGCUUUGCGCUCCGCUACAACGAGAACAAGAUGAUCUGCCGCAAGUGCUAUGGACGUCUUCCUCCUGGGGCUACCAACUGCCGCAAGAAGAAGUGCGGCCACAGCAAUGACCUAAGGCCCAAGAAACGUUUCGAUGGUAGAGCAGGUUUACGAGGGAAAUAGUGACAUGUACCUACAACAAGGCGACCAUAAGGACCGAUUAUAUAUGCUCCCCUCUGCACCAGUGAUCAGCAUCUCCUGCUUUGCUUGGCAUACAUAUAUUCUUGAAGCACCUCCUGCGCUUUUCCUCAUAACGCUGAUGUACAAUUGCAUUCUUUUUUUAGUAAUAUAUCUAGCAUUCCGUGGACAUUGCCAUAAUGUAUUUUUGUUGUUUAUUCUUCUCAACAUGACUUUUCAAAUUCUGAUGCAUCCCCUACUUGUCACAUACUCCAACCUCCGAUGG